Molecule: ribosomal RNA, 378 nt
Filed under: Dulichiidae sp. BOLD:ADF6114
Lineage: Eukaryota; Metazoa; Arthropoda; Malacostraca; Amphipoda; Dulichiidae
Description: partial 16S ribosomal RNA
Source: RNAcentral
AUGAACGGUUUUACUUUAAAUAAUUUUGCUUUGUUUAAUAAUUAAAUUUAUAGUUUAUGUAAAAAUACAUAAUUUUAUUAAAAAGACGAUAAGACCCUAAAAGUUUUAUUUUAUUUUAUUUAAUAUCUCUAUAUCCAAUUAAAUUUUAAUAAAAUUUAAUUGGGGUAAUUUUUAUUUUAAUAAUAUAUAUGUUUACUUUAGGUUUUUGAACCUUUAUAUAAGGGUGUUGAUUUAACUACUUUAGGGAUAACAGCGUAAUUAUCUUGGAGAGGGCGUAUCUAUAAGAUUUGUUGCGACCUCGAUGUUGAAUUAAUAGGUCUACUUAAAGCAGUCUUUAAGGUAGAGGGUUUGUUCAACCUUUAAUUUGUUACAUGAUUU